This 301-nucleotide ribosomal RNA is filed under the name uncultured bacterium. RNAcentral describes it as "partial 16S ribosomal RNA". It matches the Rfam family "Bacterial small subunit ribosomal RNA", at positions 509 to 809 of the family's 1533-position model. The record is from RNAcentral.
CAGUCGCCACGGGAAUACAGAGGGUGCGAGCGUUAAUCGGAUUUACUGGGCGUAAAGCGUGCGUAGGCGGCUUCUUAAGUCGGAUGUGAAAUCCCUGAGCUUAACUUAGGAAUUGCAUUCGAUACUGGGAAGCUAGAGUAUGGGAGAGGAUGGUAGAAUUCCAGGUGUAGCGGUGAAAUGCGUAGAGAUCUGGAGGAAUACCGAUGGCGAAGGCAGCCAUCUGGCCUAAUACUGACGCUGAGGUACGAAAGCAUGGGGAGCAAAUAGGAUUAGAUACCCCCGUAGUCCCUGUCUCUUAUAA